UUGAAUGAAAAUCCCUCUUCAUCGCCUUGCGUGCCGUCUUCACGCCAUGUCUUUGCGUAUCGAUGGGGCGCUUUCUUCUUCAUUUUUGCCUCCUUGACAGAAUCGAUGAUGUGUUUGUGCAUGGAACAAAUGAAA
RNAcentral lists this non-coding RNA (135 nucleotides) under Chromera velia. Lineage: Eukaryota; Chromeraceae. The record is from RNAcentral.